UUGAGAGUCCAUAUGAAUUUUAGGAUAGAUUUUUCUAUUUGUGCAAAAAACAUCAUUGGAAUUUUUACCUCCUUGAGUUCUCCGCCACCAACUUCCAUAACCAUCAGGAUAUUCUACAACUUCUGCAAGAGUAACAAUUUUACCUUACACUGUAUUUGUCUCAUGUGGUUUAAAACAUCCAGAAAUCAUUGAUAAACUGACCCUGCCCAAACUAAAGCAUGGUGAGUUAUAAAAGAUGGUCGCUGUUAAGUGGGGAGGGAUUGCAGGUUGAACUUAAUUUUAUAAGUGGUCAAUUUAUUACAAUAUAUUGUUCUAUUAUCUAUUUCACUUCUUUUUUAAAAAAAGUGAUAUUUGAGGGCACUUAGAUAAUAAAAAGUUGAGAAGAUAACGAACUGAUAUACUCUGUAAGCUUGAAAUGUUUUCAAGCAUAAGAUACAAUAAGAACUAAAACUAAGAAAUGGCAGAGGAAAUAGAGAUAAGAGGAUGAAAUUGCAAAACUGAAUCUAUAAUAAUAUCUCAAUGGCUAGCGCUGUGGUGCCAAGAAGGUGGUGAAGUCAAAGAAUUCGUAAAGAUGAUAAUAGACUGCAAAGAAAAAAGACUGAAAUUUUUGCAGAGAGAAUUUUUACAGCGAUAUUACAGAUAGAGAACAGGGAAGAGAAGUUGGAGUGAGAGACUAUCUUCUUAAAUUACUUCCACUGUAGA
Molecule: long non-coding RNA, 702 nt
Organism: Diceros bicornis minor
Lineage: Eukaryota; Metazoa; Chordata; Mammalia; Perissodactyla; Rhinocerotidae
Exons: 2
Source: RefSeq, a predicted model, not a curated record